GGCUAACGCUGGCGGCGUGUCUUAGCCAUGCAAGUCGAGCGGACUUAUGGGGUAACUUAUAAGUCAGCGGCGGACGGCGGAGUAACACGUAGCUAACCUACCCUCUGGACGGGGAUAACCUACCGAAAGGUGGGCUAAUACCCGAUGUAGUCAUCCUGUAUAGGGGUGAUGAAAGGUGGGCUUCUGUUUACAAGCUCAUGCUGGAGGAGGGGGCUGCGGCCUAUCAGGUAGUUGGUAGGGUAUAGCCUACCAAGCCGAUGACGGGUAGCCGGCCUGAGAGGGUGACCGGCCCGAGGGGCACUGAGAUACGGGUCCCACUCCUACGGGAGGCAGCAGGCUAGAAAUUUGGGCAAUGGGGGAAACCCUGACCCAGUGACGCCGCGUGCAGGAAGGAGCCCUUCGGGGUGUAAACUGACUGUCGUGUAGGGAGAAGGGUACUAAGGUGAACAAUCUUAGUACUUGACGGUACUACAGGAGGAAGCCCAGGCUAACCUCGUG
Molecule: ribosomal RNA, 498 nt
Filed under: uncultured bacterium
Lineage: Bacteria
Description: bacterial SSU rRNA
Rfam family: Bacterial small subunit ribosomal RNA
Source: RNAcentral